RNAcentral lists this ribosomal RNA (450 nucleotides) under uncultured bacterium. RNAcentral's name for it is "partial 16S ribosomal RNA". It matches the Rfam family "Bacterial small subunit ribosomal RNA", at positions 354 to 796 of the family's 1533-position model. The record is from RNAcentral.
GUGGGGAAUUUUGGACAAUGGGGGCAACCCUGAUCCAGCAAUGCCGCGUGCAGGAAGAAGGCCUUCGGGUUGUAAACUGCUUUUGUACGGAACGAAACGGUCCUGGUUAAUACCUGGGGCUAAUGACGGUACCGUAAGAAUAAGCACCGGCUAACUACGUGCCAGCAGCCGCGGUAAUACGUAGGGUGCAAGCGUUAAUCGGAAUUACUGGGCGUAAAGCGUGCGCAAGCGGUUUUGUAAGACAGACGUGAAAUCCCCGGGCUCAACCCGGGAAUGGCGUUUGGGACUGCAAAGCUGGAGUGCGGCAGAGGGGGAUGGAAUUCCGCGUGUAGCAGUGAAAUGCGUAGAUAUGCGGAGGAACACCGAUGGCGAAGGCAAUCCCCUGGGCCUGCACUGACGCUCAUGCACGAAAGCGUGGGGAGCAAACAGGAUUAGAAACCCCUGUAGUCA